Molecule: ribosomal RNA, 433 nt
Filed under: uncultured bacterium
Lineage: Bacteria
Description: partial 16S ribosomal RNA
Rfam family: Bacterial small subunit ribosomal RNA
Source: RNAcentral
AACGAACGCUGGCGGCAUGCCUAACACAUGCAAGUCGAACGAGACCUUCGGGUCUAGUGGCGCACGGGUGCGUAACGCGUGGGAACCUGCCCUUAGGUUCGGAAUAACUCUCCGAAAGGGGUGCUAAUACCGGAUAAUGUCUUCGGACCAAAGAUUUAUCGCCUUUGGCUGGGCCCGCGUUGGAUUAGCUAGUUGGUAGGGUAAAAGCCUACCAAGGCGACGAUCCAUAGCUGGUCUGAGAGGAUGAUCAGCCACACUGGGACUGAGACACGGCCCAGACUCCUACGGGAGGCAGCAGUGGGGAAUAUUGGACAAUGGGCGAAAGCCUGAUCCAGCAAUGCCGCGUGAGUGAUGAAGGCCUUAGGGUUGUAAAGCUCUUUUACCCGGGAUGAUAAUGACAGUAACGGGAGAAUAAGCUCCGGCUAACUCCGUG